AGGACGAACGCUGGCGGCGUGCCUCAUACAUGCAAGUGGAGCGACGAACCAGGAUUUAUCCUGGGGCAAAGCCGCGAACGGGUGAGUAACACGUGGGUUACCUGCCCCGAUGAUUGGGACAACCCGAGGAAACUCGGGCUAAUACCAAAUGUGCCCGUGGUUGUGAUGAUCACGAGGAAAGGAAGCUUCGGCCUCCGCAUCGGGAUGGGCCCGCGGCCCAUUAGCUAGUUGGUGGGGUAAAGGCCUACCAAGGCGACGAUGGGUAGCUGGUCUGAGAGGACGAUCAGCCACACUGGGACUGAGACACGGCCCAGACUCCUACGGGAGGCAGCAGUGGGGGAAUAUUGGACAAUGGGCGCAAGCCUGAUCCAGCAAUGCCGCGUGGGUGAAGAAGGUCUUCGGAUUGUAAAGCCCUUUCGGCGGGACGAUGAUGACGGUACCGCAGAAGAAGCCCCGGCUAACUUCGCGCCAGCAGCCGC
Molecule: ribosomal RNA, 479 nt
Filed under: uncultured bacterium
Lineage: Bacteria
Description: SSU rRNA
Rfam family: Bacterial small subunit ribosomal RNA
Source: RNAcentral